AUUGAACGCUGGCGGCAGGCCUAACACAUGCAAGUCGAGCGGAUGAGAGGAGCUUGCUCUUCGAUUCAGCGGCGGACGGGUGAGUAAUGCCUAGGAAUCUGCCUAGUAGUGGGGGACAACGUUUCGAAAGGAACGCUAAUACCGCAUACGUCCUACGGGAGAAAGUGGGGGAUCUUCGGACCUCACGCUAUUAGAUGAGCCUAGGUCGGAUUAGCUAGUUGGUAGGGUAAAGGCCUACCAAGGCGACGAUCCGUAACUGGUCUGAGAGGAUGAUCAGUCAAGCUGGACCUGAGACACGGUCCAGACGCCUACGGGAGGCAGCAGUGGGGAAUAUUGGACAAUGGGCGAAAGCCUGAUCCAGCCAUGCCGCGUGUGUGAAGAAGGCCUUCGGGUCGUAAAGCACUUUAAGUUGGGAGGAAGGGCUCAUAGCGAAUACCUGUGAGUUUUGACGUUACCAACAGAAUAAGCACCGGCUAACUUCGUGCCAGCCGCCGCAGUAA
This 500-nucleotide ribosomal RNA is filed under the name uncultured bacterium. RNAcentral describes it as "partial 16S ribosomal RNA". It matches the Rfam family "Bacterial small subunit ribosomal RNA", at positions 30 to 523 of the family's 1533-position model. The record is from RNAcentral.